This 9437-nucleotide long non-coding RNA is filed under the name Lathyrus oleraceus (garden pea). RNAcentral's name for it is "Pisum sativum (pea) long non-coding RNA (PSAT_LNC037724)". Lineage: Eukaryota; Viridiplantae; Streptophyta; Magnoliopsida; Fabales; Fabaceae. The record is from RNAcentral.
ACGUCUCUCUCCAUCCACUCCCAACAGACCCUGCUCCACUACCUCUCCUCUCUCUCGUACCAGAAAAGACAAAAAAAGAAAAUAGAUAAAUGGGAACGUUACUCUCUCACUCUCAGACCACUAUUCACUCUCUCAAAAAAAAGACAAUCUCUCAAUUUCCUCUCAACUCUGAGCUCACACAAUCCCCUUCCUCUCUCGCCCCAAAUCUCUCACUCUCAAUUCUCAGCUGAAACUCUCACCGACAAACCCUCCUCUCUAAAAUCCGCCGCCACCACCUUCUACCACCACUAAACACUCACCAACCGUCAACCCUCCGAAUCCUUCAUCAUCUUCGUCAUCGCAACUCAACCGUUCACCGCCACCCAAAACCCCUACCGUCGCGGCGACUUCCACCUUCAAACCCUUAAACCACCUUCGAAACACCGUCAAAACCGCCGUCGCUCUCACCGGCAAACUCUCUCCAUCUACCUUCAAAUCGCGCCCUCACCGACAAACCCACACGAAACCUACUCAUCUCACAAUCUCCAAGCCGUCACCAUCCAUCAUCGCUUCCGUCCACAAUCGCGACCCAUCUUCACCGCUAAAACCUAAUCUCUAAAUCCGCCGUCAUCACCGUACCGAAGCCGUCGGUGACUUGUCAGUUCGCAACUAUCUUCGACCUUCAUCAACAGUUUGGGAUUGUGUUGUGUAAUUUUUCUGUUUUUUCAGGGAAAGUCUGAAGCUUUAGAGCCAUGGGUCCAGCACCGGUGACGAUUACAACUAGCCUCUGUUGAUAGCUUCAAAAGGAUUUUCUUAUGAUUCUGGAAACGGUUUCAAGUCGCGCUGAUUCCUCUUCUUCCGCAACAACCACAAAGACCGUUAUUACUCUACCACUCUCAGCACGGCGUCGAAACCGCUUCUUGUCCACAUUAAAGCAAGCCGGGCAGAUUGUUGAAACACCAUGGAUACGGGGAUUGGGUGGAAGAUCUCAGGCUGUUGCUGAUGAUGUACUCCUGAAAUAAGCUCUUGACAACUAUCCGUCUGUACGGUAACAGAUCGAUUUAAGCUUAUUUUAGAAUUAUGAUUGUUUCAUGACAGUAUUUGAUAUCUCUGGAUAAUGUGUGUGUUUGUGAUUUUUAUCUUCCGAUUCGUUCUGGUGGUAGAUGGUAUCAACAUAUUUUAUGCUGAAAAUUUCGUUGAGGAUUGUAAAUUUUUUCUCUGAAUAUUGUUACUCUGUGUCGUUACUGUUUCGUUUUGUGUUGAUACUACAAUAGCCCUGUAUAUAAUCACAAUUUGCGGUGACAUACUUUGAUACCAUUUUUAUUGUACAUAUUCAACUCUUGAUUAUGACUUGUUUUAGCUAUAUCAAAAGGAUUUGUUUUGUAUUGCCUGUGAAGUUUAUAGUUGCUUGUAGUAUCUCGUUCAUUUUUCAUUUGAAUUGAGAUUUGGAUUAUGAAUACCAACGUGCUUGCUUAUACACAACUUAUGCGACUUUCAGUUUGGAUUAUAUUUGGGAAGAUAUUUUAAGUGGGAACUGUAUUAAAAUUCUGCUCUUGAAUUAUUAGAUUAGUUUGUGGAUGGAUCACUAUUGUUGGUGCAAAUGAGUUAUUAGCCCACGGCAUUAUCAGAAUUCUAAUAAUCUCAUGAUUGGUUUACAACGAUUUUCUCAAAUGCAUGUUGUUUUUAUUGCUGAAAUUUAAAUUGGAUUAUCAAUUGCCUAAUGGACUUUAUAGUGUAUAUAUAAGUCUACUUUAAUCAUAAGGCAUNAGUUCCUUCCUUGAAAACACAAACUUUAGAACCUACCCUUGGGAAUUUCUAGUAAUCAGAAAAACCCGUAUUUCUUCCUGUUAUCCUGACGUACCCGACGUGUGAAUAAUCUUAAGUCUGUAUUCCUUUGCAAAAAACAUGGCAAAAUUUCAUGCAUUUGCAUAUCAUCAACAUGCAUUGCAUAUCAUCUCCCAGAAACAAAAUCUCACACCAUGUUCUGCCCUUUGUCCAGUAAACGCUGACUACUCGACACCGGUACGAGACACGCCGCAAUUACAAGAUGACACUUGAACAGCUUGAAGCUAACCAAGUUUCGAUGAGGACCGACAUUGACUCCAUGCAGGCAAAGAUGGAUCGCUUGCUUGAGACCAUGUUACUCUUGGCUCAGAAGGAGAAGGAUGCUGAGACUAACGCCGAAGCCAGGAAAAUUGCUGCCCAAUUUGGAUCACCAUCGCUCAGUAUCCCUGGAGUGAUUGACCUUGAUGGUAACCCUAAUCAGCCUAGAGAAGGACCGAUCCCUAUUCCGAUCCCAAUGGACAAUAUAAAACCCCACGAGCAUUCUACUGUAUCUGCUCGACACGGAUCUGUGAUAUGUGAUGAAGAUCCAUAUGACGCUUUCUUCAUGCCACAGCCCGUCCAGCCUGCUGUUGGAGGUCUCCCAGACCCAGCUGUUGACAGACUCCAUGCGUUGGAGGAAAAGUUUAAGUCCUUGGAGGUUCACACUACUCCCGGUUUGGACGCCGUCGAUAUGUGCUUGGUGCCAGGCCUUGUGAUUCCACAGAAGUUCAAAGUCCCGGACUUUGACAAGUACAAAGGGAUCAGCUGCCCAAGAACACACCUCAGAGCUUACUGCCGCAAAAUGGCCGCCCACAUCAGUAAUGAUCAACUCCUGAUUCAUUACUUCCAAGAUAGUCUCAGUGGGGCAUCUUUGGAGUGGUACAUGCAACUGGAGAGAGGACAGGUCCAAUCAUGGAGAGACCUUGCUGAAGCAUUCCUCAGGCAUUAUCAGUACAACACUGAUCUAGCACCCAAUCGCACCCAACUGCAAGACAUGACUCAACGCAACAAUGAGUCAUUCAAAGAAUACGCCCAGCGGUGGAGAGAGCUAGCAGCUCGUGUUCAACCUCCUCUCUUUGACAAAGAGCUAAUUGACAUGUUUAUGGGAACCCUACACACCCAGUACAUGGAGAAGAUGGUAGGAUCCAGUUUCCCAACUUUUGCUGAGGUCGUCUCCGUGGGAGAACGAAUCGAGAGCCAGAUCAAGAAGGGGAAACUACCUUGCGCUGCUAAUGCUUCAAGUGGGAUGAAGAAACCUUAUCCUAAUCUCCCAAAGAAGCCAGAAGGUCAAACCAAUUCCAUAAUGGGAGGAGGAGGAUAUAGGGCACGCCCGUAUGCUCCUAUGCCUUAUAAUCAGGUUGCCGCUGUCGUCCCGACACCAUAUCAGCCUCCAUAUCAGCAACCCCAUCAACAACAAUAUCAACAGCCUUAUCAACAAACAGCUUAUCAGCAUCAGAAUCAACAUCGACGUGCUCCACAACCACGUCCCCCCAAUCAGCAGAGGGCAAGGAGGCCAGAAAGGCAUUUCGAUCCUUUGCCAGUAUCAUAUAGCAAGAUCCUCCCCUACCUGCUAAAGGAUGGAUCGGUCGUUCUGAAGGAGAUAACACCUGUAACUCCACCAUAUCCUCCAGGCUACGACGCCAAUGCUCACUGUGAGUAUCACAUGGGUGCUCCAGGGCACACAAUAGAGAACUGUAAGGCUUUCAAGCACAAGGUUCAAGAUUUGGUUGACAGUAAAGCACUUACAUUCACGCCAGUGAGGCCAAACGUUGCAACAAACCCCAUGCCGGCGCAUGCAGAAUCAAGUGAAGCUCGAAGGUAAAGCUUCCCACCGGCCUAAACAAGCAGAGCAAUUCCGCUGAAGAACCCAGAGAUGAAGGCUUGUUCAUUUGAAUGAAGGCAAUCCUGAUGCCAUUUUUACCAUUUUGCAUUCUUGUAAUUUGAUCUUGUUUGUCUAAGUACUGUACGCUUUAAACAUUGUUAUUUGUAUUUGGUUUUGUUAAUGGGAUGGUUAUGCAUGCUUUGAAUCAAUCUUUCNGGAUGAAACCCUGCUGAUGAUGUACAGGCAUUGUUUCAAAUCCCCAAACACUGGAGAGAUAAGGAGUUAAUCCCUAGUCAACCACUUCGAGCCUAGAAGUAGGAGUUUCUUUCAGAUCUAAAAAACCUUUACGCUUAACCUGGGGCAGGGUAGUGUUCAGUUAACCUGACUACACAUACAAAUUACAAAGGUGAAGUAUCCCAUACGAGGAUCAACCAUAUGACACUCUUCACACACAUCAUGAAGUGUCGAAGGAACCAUACAAAUCCAGAAUCUAUGUCGGUUGUUCUUCAAUGACCAAUGUCCUGGCAGUCACAAUUAAAAAAAAGGUCGAAGAAAGAGCCCGCUAAGUCGAACACCCUAAAAGGAGACUUAGGCAAAAAACAGGGGCAAUCCCGAUGGAUUAAAGCUUCAAACAAAGCGGUCCAUGCAAAAGUUAGGGAUCAAAACAAAAAAUCGAAAGAGACAAUGAAAGUCCUCAACAAAAGCAAAACAAGAUUCAGUGACCACCAUACCAAAAUCAAAGGGUCGCCGACAUCCAAAAAAACGAAAUAAGGUGGCUGCCAUUCCAAGGGACUUUGAACCACCAUCUUUAUCCUUACACAUGCAAGAGAAGAAUGUGUGUGAAUUAACUGAACAUAGGAUUGGAGAUCAUCAUGAAGAAGGGGUGGGUUAAAAUAAACUUUGAGCCUUAUAUCCUUUUGUUUCAAAACCAUCGACCAACACAGCAACGCCUCAAAAGACCAAGUUGAGUAGUGGUUUAUUCUGAAAGCAUACAUACAAGUUAGUAACUGACUCCUAAAUAUUUUCCAAUAUUCUCCUCUCACUAUAUCACUCACACACUAGCUAAAUCAAGCACCGCGUUUGGACACAUGAUCCACUCGCCACACACUACCACAACACUUCCCAAAUGAAUGAUUAUUUUUCAAAACUUGCAUAACUGUUGCAUUAACAUCACCAUUUCGUAGAUAACAAUUCUUAAUUGUCAGUCAGUGCUUGACAUCGGAAAAUUCCAACAAGGAGUAAUUCAACGGGCACUUGAUUGUUGGUGCUGACACGAAUCCAGACCAUCCUGUGAAUCAGGGGCAUGGCAUCUUUUGAUCAUAUUGACCUAAGAAGUAGUCUGUGUAAGACAAAUCUCCAAGCAUCGGUUGAUCAGGGAGAAAAACACUUCAGUACUCGGCCCGUCUGAAGCAGGUCCCUCAAAGGCUAAUCAGGGGCAGACCAUAGCCAGAUUUGGACAUCAGGAAACAAACUCAGACCAUGUCAUGGGAUAAUCACUCCUAAGGUUUCUUGCAGGGAGAAUUCCUUUGAACACCCUACAAACAGGGGCAAGACAAGUUGCAAGGGGCAAAAUUCCCUUCAUAUCUUCAAGACAGUCAGGCAGAUUGCGUCAAACAUUAGUGACUGCUUGAAUUCACAACCAAAAUGUCAAAAGUUCGUACCAGUACAACAUCAUGCCUUGACAAGAAUCCUUGAGGCACGUCAAAAGCACAAUCAUCAUGCGCUGAUCACGUCGCUAUGCUCAGUUACAAGCUGGCCAAACACUUCAGAAGAAGAAACCAAGAUCUUCUCAAAGACAAAUACUCAACAUAUCAGCAAGAGAUCAAACCUGGGGCACCAAGAGUAUCCACAUCCAUUUCGUGUUCAUCAUAUCAUCAACUACUGAGUGUCGGGAAUGUCAGAUCCUUUCACCAAUCAAUAGCAUAUCCACAUUGACAAUUACCAAAAAAACCUAAAGCCCACAUUGUUGGCACCCACAUAAAACCAAAUAUAACCAACUUUGGUUUCCAGAAGAUGCAUUGCCUUUGAAAGGGGGGCCAAUCCCAAACAAACCAAUCAUUCUUUGCAUACAAACAUGCAUUUCAUGCAUCAUAUGCAUCACCUCAUACAUAAUACAUACAUAUCAUUCAUGUACAUAACACAAAUCAAGAUCCAAGGUUUAGUCGUAGGCAUACAGGCCAACCCUCAGUUGAGUCGUUAUUUUUCUCUGAGUGAGUUCCUACCCUACUAUCGGGCGUUCCCCAUUGAGUUACAUCCUUCAACCUUUUGUUGAUAAGAUGUUAUCCUCAGCUUAGUCAAACAAUGUUUCUUUAAACACCUAUUUUUUUUUUCACGUUGAGCGUCCCUCAAUGAGUCGUUUCCCAUAACCUUUUGUUGACAGAAAUUACAUCUCCCCAGAGAACAUUGGCUCUGCAACCUUUUGUUGUUGAUACCCCCAAGCAAGUCUUACCCAAUAAUGUCCCAAUACUACCCAACAAAUCGGGUUUACUGGACUUUGACAGUAGCCUUAUUUUUCCAAUAUUUUUCUCACUACCAUCCUUUUGGUGAAAGUCCAUGGAGGAAUAAUACCAGUCAUCACCUUGUUUAUGAUCACCGUUAUCCUUUUGGUAAUGGUAAAUUCUUGACAUUUGUGAUCUUACUGUCAUCCUUUUGGUGUCGAAGAUCAUUGAAGUUUUAAGCUAACCUUCAUCCUUUUGAAUCACCUUGUUUAUGAUCACCGUUAUCCUUUUGGUAAUGGUAAAUUCUUGACAUUUGUGAUCUUACUGUCAUCCUUUUGGUGUCGAAGAUCAUUGAAGUUUUAAGCUAACCUUCAUCCUUUUGGUGAUGGUGACCUCUGCAAUUAUUACACCCCACUGUCAUCCUUUUGGUGUCAGUAAUAUUUGAAGUCAUUAUAACUUAUUAUCAUCCUUUUGGUGGUAACGAGUUUCGAAGUUAUGAUUCCACCUUCAUCCUUUUGGUGAUGGUGAUUGUUGAUUCAUUAUCAUCCUUUUGGUGAUAACGAGUUCUGUUGUUUGUAGCGCCUUCAUCCUUUUGGUGAUGGUGACUAUUGACUUAUUAUCAUCCUUUUGGUGGUAACAAGUUUUGUCGUUUUAACAAUACCUUCAUCCUUUUGGUGAUGGUGAGUGUUGACUUCUUAUCAUCCUUUUGGUGAUAACAAGUUUGUGUCUUGAUCUUACCUUCAUCCUUUUGGUGAUGGCGAUCAUUUGUGUUGUCAGCUUAUUAUCAUCCUUUUGGUGGUAACUAAGUUUUGUCGUUUGACAAAUACCUUCAUCCUUUUGGUGAUGGUGAUUGUUGACUUCUUAUCAUCCUUUUGGUGAUAACAAGUUUGUGUUUUGAUCUUACCUUCAUCCUUUUGGUGAUGGUGAUCAUUUGCGUGUGUGCUUCUUAUCAUCCUUUUGGUGGUAACAAGUUUUAUCUUUUGAUUAUACCUUCAUCCUUUUGGUGAUGGUGGUUAUCAUCCUUUUGGUGAUAACAAGUUUGUGUCUUGAUCCUACCUUCAUCCUUUUGGUGAUGGUGAUCAAUUGUGUUGUGUUCUUAUUAUCAUCCUUUUGGUGAUAACAAGUUUGUGUCCUGAUUAUACCUUCAUCCUUUUGGUGAUGGUGAUUAUUGAAGUUAUCUGACUUAUUAUCAUCCUUUUGGUGAUAACAAGCUUUGUUGUUGGAUCUUACCUUCAUCCUUUUGGUGACGGUGAUCUUUGAAGUUUAUGAGUUAACUAUCAUCCUUUUGGUGAUAGCCUUGAUCCUAUACUCUCAGUAAUGGAAAAAUUUACCAGAAUGACCAUCAUCCUUUUGGUGAUAGAAAUCUGUGAAUUGUGUCUAACUUUCAUCCUUUAGGUGAUAGCGAGAUUUGUUGUUGAUCUGACCAUCAUCCUUUUGGUGAUGGCGAUCUUUGUUGCACCCACUGUAACCAUUAUCCUUUUGGUGAUGACUACCUUAAAAGCUCAGCUUAUCCAUCAUCCUUUUGGUGAUGACAAUCCUCAAAAUCAUGGUGAAUCUCUGUCAUCCUUUUGGUGUCAGAAAACCAGUCCCACCUUUGUCUUCACAUCAGAAAUAACCUGUGCCAGAUUUGAAUGUUGACUCGAGGGUUGGCAUUGAUCGAACAUCCUACCCCCAUUACCUUGGCAUCCAUUGCAUUUUCAUCUGCAUCUCUCCAUUGCAUUUCAAAGGACAAAAUUUGGAUCCUUUAGUAUUUAAUUACCUUCCACCACGAAUGUAUGAUGACCUUUAUCAUUCUUACUUUCUAGUUCAAGAUAAUUAAAUAGGGGCAGCUGUCGUACCCCAAUUUUGUCCGGGCAUUUUUAAUUUUUUCAAAAUUAAUUUCAGUUUCAUUUUUGCAUCAUACGCAUAGCAUGACAUACAUUUGCAUCAUGAAUAAACACCUAAAAUGUCAGUCAGAAGGAAUUUAUUUGAGAAUACAGAAAAAAUCGGUUGAAUCGUUAAAAUUUGAGAAAAGACUGUAUUUUUAAUAAGUAGGUUUUGUGCUGACAAUUUUAAUGUGACUGGUUUAUUUAUUAUUAUUAUUUUUUUUAUUUUUUUAUUUUCUUUCUUUUUUCGAAUUAAAUUUGUACUCGAUUUUUUUUAAUUGGUCAAAUAUUAGUUAGAGUUUUUUUUUAAAUAUUAUUUAAUUAAAUAUUAGUUAAUGUUUUUUAUAUUAAUUAGUUUUUUUAUAUUAGUUAGAUUUUUUCUAAAAUAGUAGUUAAUUUUAGUUUUUAAAUAUUAAUUAGUUUGUUUAGUUAGAUUUUGUAAAAUAUUAGUUAGAGUAUUUUUUUUUUAAUAUUAAUUAGUUUUUCUAAAUAUUAGUUAGUUUUUAAAUAUUAGUUAGAUUUUUCUUUUUAAUAUUAAUUAGUUUUUUUUAGUGUUAAUUAGUUUAAGAGUUAGUUAGCUUUUUUAUUAGUUAAUUUUUAAAUAGUAGUUAGUUAGAGUUUUUAAAAUAUUAAUUAGUUUUUUUAUUUUUUAUGAAUAUAUGUAUUUUACAUUGGAUUCCAAUCCAUAAAAAAACAAAAAAAACAAAAUCUCCCAACGUCUCUCUCCAUCCACUCCCAACAGACCCUGCUCCACUACCUCUCCUCUCUCUCGUACCAGAAAAGACAAAAAAAGAAAAUAGAUAAAUGGGAACGUUACUCUCUCACUCUCAGACCACUAUUCACUCUCUCAAAAAAAAGACAAUCUCUCAAUUUCCUCUCAACUCUGAGCUCACACAAUCCCCUUCCUCUCUCGCCCCAAAUCUCUCACUCUCAAUUCUCAGCUGAAACUCUCACCGACAAACCCUCCUCUCUAAAAUCCGCCGCCACCACCUUCUACCACCACUAAACACUCACCAACCGUCAACCCUCCGAAUCCUUCAUCAUCUUCGUCAUCGCAACUCAACCGUUCACCGCCACCCAAAACCCCUACCGUCGCGGCGACUUCCACCUUCAAACCCUUAAACCACCUUCGAAACACCGUCAAAACCGCCGUCGCUCUCACCGGCAAACUCUCUCCAUCUACCUUCAAAUCGCGCCCUCACCGACAAACCCACACGAAACCUACUCAUCUCACAAUCUCCAAGCCGUCACCAUCCAUCAUCGCUUCCGUCCACAAUCGCGACCCAUCUUCACCGCUAAAACCUAAUCUCUAAAUCCGCCGUCAUCACCGUACCGAAGCCGUCGGUGACUUGUCAGUUCGCAACUAUCUUCGACCUUCAUCAACAGUUUGGGAUUGUGUUGUGUAAUUUUUCUGUUUUUUCAGGGAAAGUCUGAAGCUUUAGAGCCAUGGGUCCAGCACCGGUGACGAUUACAACUAGCCUCUGUUGAUAGCUUCAAAAGGAUUUUCUU